This 428-nucleotide ribosomal RNA is filed under the name uncultured bacterium. Its description in RNAcentral is "partial 16S ribosomal RNA". It matches the Rfam family "Bacterial small subunit ribosomal RNA", at positions 354 to 796 of the family's 1533-position model. The record is from RNAcentral.
GUGGGGAAUAUUGGGCAAUGGGCGGAAGCCUGACCCAGCGACGCCGCGUGGGGGAAGAAGUCUUUCGGGAUGUAAACCCUUGUUGUACGGGACGAAGGAAGUGACGGUACCGUACGAGGAAGCCCCGGCAAACUACGUGCCAGCAGCCGCGGUAAUACGUAGUGGGCGAGCGUUGUCCGGAAUCACUGGGCGUAAAGCGCACGUAGGCGGGCUGUCAAGUCGGCCGUGAAAGGCACGGGCUCAACCUGUGCAUGUCGGUCGAUACUGGCGGUCUGGAGUAUGGGAGAGGGAACUGGAAUUCCCGGUGUAGCGGUGAAAUGCGUAGAUAGCGGGAGGAACACCAGUGGCGAAGGCGGGUUCCUGGCCCAUGACUGACGCUGAGGUGCGAAAGCCGGGGGAGCGAACAGGAUUAGAUACCCGGGUAGUCC